CCUAGAGUUUUGUGGACUUCGGUCUGCUACCUCUUACCCAUGUCUUUUGAGUACCUUCGUUUUCCUCGGCGGGUCCGCCCGCCGGUUGGACAAACAUUCAAACCCUUUGCAGUUGCAAUCAGCGUCUGAAAAAAACUUAAUAGUUUA
RNAcentral lists this unclassified non-coding RNA (147 nucleotides) under soil metagenome. RNAcentral describes it as "partial internal transcribed spacer 1". The record is from RNAcentral.